This is a transfer RNA of Sphaerochaeta pleomorpha str. Grapes, 74 nucleotides long. It matches the Rfam family "tRNA". Rfam says of the family: Transfer RNA (tRNA) molecules are approximately 80 nucleotides in length. Their secondary structure includes four short double-helical elements and three loops (D, anti-codon, and T loops). Further hydrogen bonds mediate the characteristic L-shaped molecular structure. tRNAs have two regions of fundamental functional importance: the anti-codon, which is responsible for specific mRNA codon recognition, and the 3' end, to which the tRNAs corresponding amino acid is attached (by aminoacyl-tRNA synthetases). tRNAs cope with the degeneracy of the genetic code in two manners: having more than one tRNA (with a specific anti-codon) for a particular amino acid; and 'wobble' base-pairing, i.e. permitting non-standard base-pairing at the 3rd anti-codon position. The record is from Rfam. Lineage: Bacteria; Pseudomonadati; Spirochaetota; Spirochaetia; Spirochaetales; Sphaerochaetaceae.
GGGACUGUAGCUCAGGUGGUUAGAGCGCGUGCCUGAUAAGCACGAGGUCAUAAGUUCAAGUCUUAUCAGUCCCA